RNAcentral lists this ribosomal RNA (384 nucleotides) under uncultured Prevotella sp. RNAcentral describes it as "bacterial SSU rRNA". It matches the Rfam family "Bacterial small subunit ribosomal RNA", at positions 355 to 736 of the family's 1533-position model. The record is from RNAcentral. Lineage: Bacteria; Pseudomonadati; Bacteroidota; Bacteroidia; Bacteroidales; Prevotellaceae.
UGAGGAAUAUUGGUCAAUGGGCGGAAGCCUGAACCAGCCAUGCCGCGUGAAGGAAGAAGGUCCUAUGGAUUUUAAACUUCUUUUGUCGGAGAGCAAUAAGGGUCUCGUGAGAUCCGAUGAGAGUAUCCGACGAAUAAGCAUCGGCUAACUCCGUGCCAGCAGCCGCGGUAAUACGGAAGGUCCGGGCGUUAUCCGGAUUUAUUGGGUUUAAAGGGAGCGUAGGCCGGCUUUUAAGCGUGUUGUGAAAUGCCGCGGCUCAACCGUGGCACUGCAGCGCGAACUGGAGGCCUUGAGUGCGCGGGAGGUAGGCGGAAUUCGUGGUGUAGCGGUGAAAUGCUUAGAUAUCACGAAGAACUCCGAUUGCGAAGGCAGCUUACCGUAGCG